GUCGUAACAAGGUUUCCGUAGGUGAACCUGCGGAAGGAUCAUUACUGAAGUACCAUAACAAGUUGUCGCUGAUCCUAGAUCGUGCACGCUUGUUAUUCUUCAUUUCUCCAUUAUUUGUGCAUCACUUGUGUGGAUCUUUGUUAGGACUGCUUCGCAAAGUUGCUAUUUGUGGGGCUUUCCUUGUAUUCUUUUGAUCUACAUGUUUUUUUUUACACACACACCAAUGUUUUAGAAGGAAUGAAAAUGAAUUGUUAUACAACUUUCAGCAACGGAUCUCUUGGCUCUCGCAUCGAUGAAGAACGCAGCGAAAUGCGAUAAGUAAUGUGAAUUGCAGAAUUCAGUGAAUCAUCGAAUCUUUGAACGCAUCUUGCGCUCCUUGGUAUUCCGAGGAGCAUGCCUGUUUGAGUGUCAUUAAUAUCUCAACCACAUAUUUUGAUGUGUGGCUUGGACUUGGAGGAAACGUGCAGGCUCUGACUCUUGUAGUCUGCUCCUCUGAAAAACAUAAGCGGUACCUAUAUUGGGACUUUGGCUAGGUGUGAUACACAUCUGCAUCUAAUCGAGGUUAGCCCGUUGGUCAUGCUGCUGAUCAUUACAACUUGAUGAACUUGACCUCAAUCAGGUAGGACCACCCGCUGAACUUA
This 641-nucleotide ribosomal RNA is filed under the name Inosperma cervicolor. RNAcentral's name for it is "eukaryotic LSU rRNA". The stretch from base 258 to 411 matches the Rfam family "5.8S ribosomal RNA". Lineage: Eukaryota; Fungi; Basidiomycota; Agaricomycetes; Agaricales; Inocybaceae. The record is from RNAcentral.